GCGGCCGGUCUGGAGAAACUAGCUGCCACGCGGACACGCUAGCUAGUGAGCGGNCAAAGCUCAAAUUUGAAAUCUGGCACCUUCGGUGUCCGAGUUGUAAUUUGAAGAAGGUAACUUUGGAGUUGGCUCUUGUCUAUGUUCCUUGGAACAGGACGUCACAGAGGGUGAGAAUCCCGUGCGAUGAGAUGCCCAAUUCUAUGUAAAGUGCUUUCGAAGAGUCGAGUUGUUUGGGAAUGCAGCUCUAAGUGGGUGGUAAAUUCCAUCUAAAGCUAAAUAUUGGCGAGAGACCGAUAGCGAACAAGUACAGUGAUGGAAAGAUGAAAAGAACUUUGAAAAGAGAGUGAAAAAGUACGUGAAAUUGUUGAAAGGGAAGGGCUUGAGAUCAGACUUGGUAUUUUGCGAUCCUUUCCUUCUUGGUUGGGUUCCUCGCAGCUUACUGGGCCAGCAUCGGUUUGGAUGGUAGGAUAAUGACUAAGGAAUGUGGCUCUACUUCGGUGGAGUGUUAUAGCCUUGGUUGAUACUGCCUGUCUAGACCGAGGACUGCGUCUUUUGACUAGGAUGUUGGCAUAAUGAUCUUAAGCCACCCGUCUUGAAACACGGACCAA
This 605-nucleotide ribosomal RNA is filed under the name Debaryomyces hansenii. RNAcentral describes it as "LSU rRNA". It matches the Rfam family "Eukaryotic large subunit ribosomal RNA", at positions 1 to 669 of the family's 3401-position model. Lineage: Eukaryota; Fungi; Ascomycota; Pichiomycetes; Serinales; Debaryomycetaceae. The record is from RNAcentral.